RNAcentral lists this ribosomal RNA (464 nucleotides) under uncultured bacterium. RNAcentral's name for it is "partial 16S ribosomal RNA". It matches the Rfam family "Bacterial small subunit ribosomal RNA", at positions 29 to 507 of the family's 1533-position model. The record is from RNAcentral.
AUUGAACGCUGGCGGCAGGCCUAACACAUGCAAGUCGAGCGGAUGAAGGGAGCUUGCUCCUGGAUUCAGCGGCGGACGGGUGAGUAAUGCCUAGGAAUCUGCCUGGUAGUGGGGGAUAACGUCCGGAAACGGGCGCUAAUACCGCAUACGUCCUGAGGGAGAAAGUGGGGGAUCUUCGGACCUCACGGUAUCAGAUGAGCCUAGGGCGGAUUAGCGAGUUGGUGGGGUAAAGGACUACCAAGGCUUCGAUGGGUAGCUGGUCUGAGAGGGUGAACGGUCAGAUUGGGAGUGAGAUAAGGCCCAGACUCCUAAGGGAGGCAGCAGUGGGGAAUAUUGUACAAUGGGAGGAAGCCUGAUGCAGCAACUGCGCGUGCGGGAUGACGUCCUUCGGGUUGUAAACCGCUUUCGCCUGUGACGAAGAGUGAGUGAGGGUAAUGGGUAAAGAAGCACCGGCUAACUACGUG